UAAAAAAAAAAAAAAACCCUAAAAACUGAUAGAAAAGCUGUAGUGGACUGCACUCUUGCCUAAGACCCAAAAACACAUAAAUAAGGCUCAAAACACAUAUCUGAUAAAAAAUAAUUAAAUAAAACUAUUUAGACCUAUUAUAGAUAAAAAGAAAAAACACUAAGUUUGUGUAAAAACUCGUCAUUUCUGUCCAAAUAUUUCUUGAUCA
RNAcentral lists this unclassified non-coding RNA (208 nucleotides) under Hevea brasiliensis (rubber tree). Lineage: Eukaryota; Viridiplantae; Streptophyta; Magnoliopsida; Malpighiales; Euphorbiaceae. The record is from RNAcentral.